AGAGUUUGAUCCUGGCUCAGGAUGAACGCUGGCGGUCUGCUUAACACAUGCAAGUCGAACGGAACUCUUCGGAGUUCAGUGGCGGACGGGUGAGUAACGCGUGAGAAUCUGCCUUCAGGUUCGGGACAACCACUGGAAACGGUGGCUAAUACCGAAUGUGCAGCAAUGUGAAAAAUUUAUUGCCUGAAGAUGAGCUCGCGUCUGAUUAGCUAGUAGGUGUGGUAAGAGCGCACCUAGGCGACGAUCAGUAGCUGGUCUGAGAGGAUGAUCAGCCACACUGGGACUGAGACACGGCCCAGACUCCUACGGGAGGCAGCAGUGGGGAAUUUUCCGCAAUGGGCGAAAGCCUGACGGAGCAAUACCGCGUGAGGGAGGAAGGCUCUUGGGUUGUAAACCUCUUUUCUCAAGGAAGAAAAAAAUGACGGUACUUGAGGAAUAAGCAUCGGCUAACUCCGUGCCAGCAGCCGCGGUAAUACGGAGGAUGCAAGCGUUAUCCGGAAUGAUUGGGCGUAAAGCGUCCGCAGGUGGCUAUGUAAGUCUGCUGUUAAAGAGUCUGGCUCAACCAGAUAAAGGCAGUGGAAACUACAUGGCUAGAGUGCGUUCGGGGCAGAGGGAAUUCCUGGUGUAGCGGUGAAAUGCGUAGAGAUCAGGAAGAACACCGGUGGCGAAAGCGCUCUGCUAGGCCGCAACUGACACUGAGGGACGAAAGCUAGGGGAGCGAAUGGGAUUAGAUACCCCCGUAGUCC
Molecule: ribosomal RNA, 746 nt
Filed under: uncultured cyanobacterium
Lineage: Bacteria; Bacillati; Cyanobacteriota
Description: bacterial SSU rRNA
Rfam family: Bacterial small subunit ribosomal RNA
Source: RNAcentral